AACGCAGCGAAGGGCGAUAAGUAAUGUGAAUUGCAGAAUUCAGUGAAUCAUCGAAUCUUUGAACGCACCUUGCGCCCUUUGGUAUUCCGAAGGGCAUGCCUGUUUGAGUGUCAUUAAAUUCUCAACCCAAAAAGUCUUUUACGAGCUCUUUUGUGGCUUGGAUGUGGGGGGUUUUUUGCUGGCUUCCUUCAGUGGAUGGUCUGCUCCCCUUAAAUGCAUUAGUGGGAUCUCUUGUGGACCGUCACUUGGUGUGAUAAUUAUCUAUGCCAGUUGACUUUGAAGCAAAACUUAUGGGAACCCGCUCAUAACCGUCUUCGGACAACUUAUUGACAUUUUGACCUCAAAUCAGGUAGGACUACCCGCUGAACUUAA
This 372-nucleotide ribosomal RNA is filed under the name uncultured fungus. RNAcentral describes it as "eukaryotic LSU rRNA". The stretch from base 1 to 113 matches the Rfam family "5.8S ribosomal RNA", at positions 42 to 154 of the family's 154-position model. Lineage: Eukaryota; Fungi. The record is from RNAcentral.